UAGGGAAUAUUGGUCAAUGGAUGCAAGUCUGAACCAGCCAUGCCGCGUGCAGGAAGAAGGCCUUCUGGGUUGUAAACUGCUUUUGCCGGGGGAUAAAAAGCCCAUGCGUGGGAACUUGAAGGUACCCGGUGAAUAAGCCACGGCUAACUACGGGCCAGCAGCCGCGGUAAUACGUAGGUGGCAAGCGUUGUCCGGAUUUAUUGGGUUUAAAGGGUGCGUAGGCGGUCCUAUAAGUCAGUGCUGAAAUAUCCCGGCUUAACCGGGAGGGUGGCAUUGAUACUGCAGGACUUGAGUAGAGUUGAGGUUGGCGGAAUUGACGGUGUAGCGGUGAAAUGCUUAGAUAUCGUCAAGAACACCGAUAGUGAAGACAGCUAACUAAGCUCUAACUGACGCUGAGGCACGAAAGUGUGGGGAUCAAA
This 419-nucleotide ribosomal RNA is filed under the name uncultured bacterium. Its description in RNAcentral is "bacterial SSU rRNA". It matches the Rfam family "Bacterial small subunit ribosomal RNA", at positions 355 to 772 of the family's 1533-position model. The record is from RNAcentral.